UCCGGCUUAUCACCGGCAGUCUCCCUAGAGUGCCCAACUAAAUGAUGGCAACUAAGGACGAGGGUUGCGCUCGUUGCGGGACUUAACCCAACAUCUCACGACACGAACUGACGACAGCCAUGCAGCACCUGUGUCUAGGUUCCCUUUCGGGCACACUCACGUUUCUGCGAGCUCCCUAGCAUGUCAAGGGUAGGUAAGGUUGUUCGCGUUGCAUCGAAUUAAUCCACAUCAUCCACCGCUUGUGCGGGUCCCCGUCAAUUCCUUUGAGUUUUAACCUUGCGGCCGUACUCCCCAGGCGGAUCACUUCACGCGUUAGCUACGGUACCAGGAGAUCGCUCCCCCAACACCUAGUGAUCAUCGUUUAGGGCGUGGACUAC
RNAcentral lists this unclassified non-coding RNA (377 nucleotides) under uncultured Gammaproteobacteria bacterium. RNAcentral describes it as "contains 16S-23S intergenic spacer region". Lineage: Bacteria; Pseudomonadati; Pseudomonadota; Gammaproteobacteria. The record is from RNAcentral.